This 362-nucleotide long non-coding RNA is filed under the name Triticum aestivum (bread wheat). RNAcentral's name for it is "long non-coding RNA (TAES_LNC014304)". The record is from RNAcentral. Lineage: Eukaryota; Viridiplantae; Streptophyta; Magnoliopsida; Poales; Poaceae.
CACAACAUCAUCCAACAUAUUGACGUUUAGCUGACCGAAAGAAACUAUACAUAUUUAGCUAGGAAAUCUAGGAAAUCUAGGAACAACAAAAUAGACCGGUCGACAUGUAUGAUUAAGGAUAAAGAAUACACUAACUUUCAAACUUUUUUGAUGCUAUCUUGCCUGACCACAUAUAUUGUCAACAUGGAAAUUCUGGUUUCUGAAAUCAGUUUCCUUGCUCAGUAGAACACCUAUUAUGAAAUCUGUUUGUUCCCCAUACACACAUAUGGAAUGGCAGCUCCCUGACACGAAAUGAACAUUGUCUGAUGGCAAGAAAGUUUGAAAUAGCGCGUGUGGGGGUAGCAAGAUUGAUUAGAACGCAC